ACAUCCAGAGAACUUGGCAGAGAUGCCUUGGUGCCUUCGGGACCUCUGAGACAGGUGCUGCAUGGCUGUCGUCAGCUCGUGUUGUGAAAUGUUGGGUUAAGUCCCGNAACGAGCGCAACCCCUAUCCUUUGUUGCCAGCGAUUCGGUCGGGAACUCAAAGGAGACUGCCGGUGAUAAACCGGAGGAAGGUGGGGAUGACGUCAAGUCAUCAUGGCCCUUACGAGUAGGGCUACACACGUGCUACAAUGGCGCAUACAAAGAGAAGCGACCUCGCGAGAGCAAGCGGACCGUCAUAAAGUGCGUCGUAGUCCGGAUCGGAGUCUGCAACUCGACUCCGUGAAGUCGGAAUCGCUAGUAAUCGUAGAUCAGAAUGCUACGGUGAAUACGUUCCCGGGCCUUGUACACACCGCCCGUCACACCAUGGGAGUGGGUUGCAAAAGAAGUAGAUAGCUUAACCUUCGGGAGGGCGUUUACCACUUUGUGAUUCAUGACUGGGGUGAAGUCGUAACAAGGUAGGCGUAGCGAG
This 526-nucleotide ribosomal RNA is filed under the name uncultured bacterium. RNAcentral's name for it is "bacterial SSU rRNA". It matches the Rfam family "Bacterial small subunit ribosomal RNA", at positions 984 to 1509 of the family's 1533-position model. The record is from RNAcentral.